UAUUCUCCUGCAGAUAAUUCAGUCUUCCUUUUCGCUUCACAUAUGACGGACGAGGAAACACUGUUUCUGAUCGGAGAUCAUAAUGAGUGACUUCAUUUCCCGCUUGUCUUCUCUGCCAGUUUUAUUAAUUUCUAUUAUCUUUAAUGCAACCAAGAGGGAGCACCAUCCAAUGUUUAAGCAUGCUGCUCACAAGUCCAGAUGAAUGCAGGAAGUUGUCAGGAACAGCAUCCAACAUAAAGUCAAAUUAAAUAUAUUUGGACUAAAAUAAGGCUUGAUUAUUUAGGAUGGAGAGGACAGGAUUAGAUUGAUACAGAUGAUUCACUGUGAUGACCCCUGAAGGAAGCGUUGGAAGGCAAAGACAAUUCUGAUUGUAAUCUAAAAAGAAAGUAUGUUUUUCCUACUUUUUUAUUGUUGUUAUUAACUCUUAUUACAUAAGAGCAUAUUCAAAUUAUAUAUAUUUUAUUCUAACCCUAAAGAAAGAGUAAAUUCCAUUCAUACAUUUUGGUAUUUUUAAUAGGCGAUUUUCAAAAUCUAAAAAUAUUCCCCAAGAAACUAUAAUAAUCCCAUAACUGCAAUCCCGAAACUGCAAAGCAAAUCCAGGUAGGUUAUGAUGGGAAAAACAAUCUUUUAUACGGCUGUUUCUUGAUUCCUCACAGAAAACUGGAGGAGCAUGACUCCAGUUCUCAAAAUAACCACAUGGGUAACGCCACCUUUGACAUCAGGGAGGCCACUACCAAACCCAUACAUUUCUUCUUCUUUGCGGAUAAGAGGAGGUAUCCUCGUUCUUCUGGCAGUCAUCAACAGCACUUUCUUCAUCUGGAGACAAUGUGGAUUGAAAAGAAGAGAAGUUGAGAGACAAAGCCACAUCUAUGAGAUACCAUAAGGAGGAUGAUAAGAGUCGACAAAAGCAGGUCCAGGAAGCUUAACUCAGAGUAUCACAUCACAGACUCUUCUGAUAAAUGAAAGCUCAUUUUUUUGUUUGUUUUACUGCCACCUGCUGGAGAAAUUGAGAAAGGUGUUAGUUUUUCUUCACACUCUUUUUGUGUGUUUUGCUGAGAUGCCACAAACAUCCAGCAGAGGGCGGCAAAAUUAAUUUAGUGCAGCAAAAAAAAGACAAAUUCUCCACAAGAAGUACAGAUGGGUUUACAAAUGACUGUUUACUGGACUUUUGCUUUAAAUGUGGUUCUCAAUUGGCUAGCCUAAAGCCCAAAUCUAUUGAAGAUAACAAUCAAAAGUAAAUAAAGAAAUAUAAAGAAAUGUUUUUAUUGUGUUUGUCUCUUUUCUUAACAGAAUGUGUUGUGUUUGUUCAAUCAAUAAUGAGAUGGUAAAACACUUUUUUGUGUGCAGAUCAUUUGUUCUAUUUGGGUGGGAGCAAAAUUUGUUAAAGUUGGUGAAUUUUUGGUCUUAGAUGAGUUUGUAUUGCCCCAAUUUCCUGCAGAAAAAUUCCUCCAGCAACAAUUACAUUAAAACUAUCCAUCCGUGAAACGCUGGUGGUUCUACAACUGUUGUUUUCCAAAAUGCUUCCCAUCUUUAAAAACAAUCCAUUUUCUUUUUUUUUUUUUUUACGUUGCAGUAACUUCAAGCUCCAGAAAUAUUUUGGGUUUUAAAACUACAAAAAGCUUUUAGGGGAAAUAAAACCUCAUUUUUAAUUAUCUUUUCACCGUUUAAAAGUGUGGAUUGUUACAUCACAGCAGAGUCCUUUCAUCACUGAGACAGCGGCCAGUGUGAGAACAUAUAUAGUAUAUAGUCCCUGUUAACACUACAACCACCAAGGCAGCAAAGUGUGAAAAAUCUACGGACUAAAACUAAUGUGUAUUUUACUAUAACAUUAAAAUGUAAAAAAAAAAAAUAGAUUCAAGUACUGACUCCAUGAUUUUCACAGAUGAUAUCAUCAAUUUUACUAUUUCAACAUUUUCCUGACCUUUCUCCAGCUCUAUUGUCUUUUUUUUUAUACUCGAUGAAGCUAAAGUCUGGAUAUAGUUUCUAAACUCAAGAGAGAGAAGAUGGCAAGUGGGAAAAAAAAGACUUCCAGGAAGAGUCUAAAAGCGAACCAAUGUCCGUUUUCAUAUCCUGACUUUUUUUUUCCUUUUUUUUACCCAUUUUCCCAAAUACACUUUGAUCUUUUUGAAUAUAACUGUAAUUCUAUACAAAUAAAGAAAACGGCUGUUUCUAGUUGAUCAAGUUUAAACUGUGAUGACUACUUAAACUUACAUUUAGGGGUUGGUGUUCUGUGACCGCAUGCUAACGUUCGCGCUAACUUCAUCUGUUGCCUAACAACAUUGCUUCUCACUUCCUCUGUUGCUGUAGAAAAGAGAAGAAAUAGUAGCAGUUCAUAGGGGUUAGUACAAAAGGUCAGAUGUAUGGAGGAGGAAGAGGUGUUAGAGCAGGAGGAGAAGCAGAAAUCCAACUCUACGUGGACUACAUCAACUAUGGCAACAGCAAGUUCAUUAUCAUACACAAGGAUGCUUCUGUUUCUGGGGAUAAGAGCAACCAUUAUUUUUCUUUUCACCAUCAUCAUUGUCCUCAUCAUGAUUAUCACUUUCCCUUCCUGGAUAGAAUGUGGAUUGAAAAGAAGAGAAGCUGAUAGAAAAAAGUCUCGUCUGAGACAUCGUAUGGACAACGACAACAACCUGGAGAUGGAAAUAAUUGAUGUACAAAGCUCAACUGAAGUAUCCACUGUGUAUGAAACCAUAAACCCUUCCCGUUAAAGACGACUUUUGGUUUUUGUGUUACUGCUGCGUACUUAAGAAAGAGAGAAGACAACUAUUCCUUCUUUAGUUAAUUUAGCUUGAUGCUUAAAAUGAAAAAACAAUCUGUAUCUUGAUUAUAAGCUUCCAUAUUUGUGACCUCUAUGUUUGACGUUCAUGUUUAUUCCAAGUAAACAAAAGAAAUCCAGAUAAUUAUUAUAGAACUUAAAUUCUUUAUUUAUAUUACCCAGUGCUCUUUGUUAUGUUUUUAUUAUUUAAAGGGGGGAAAAAUCUCCUAAAAACCUGUUUGUUGUUCUUCAAACUCAAGAAAAAUGUUUGUUUUGCUGCGAUACCACAAACAUCCAGUAGAUGGCAGCAAAAUGCAUUUAGUGCAGCUAGAAAGUCACAUAUGUGCUACAAUAGAUACAGAUUGCUUAACAAUUACUGUUUAUUACACUUUAAAUGUGUUUUUUAAGUGGAUAAAAUAAAUUCAAAGUCAAGUGUAUGAAAGCAAGGGUUUGGGGAUAUGAUACGAAUGCCAACACAGUACCAGAAACCAUAUUUCACUAGUUUAUUUUCAAUAUUUGUUCUUAAAAGGAGCAGUCAGUAUUGUCUGAUUUCAACUACAAAAUAUUUUUCAGAAUGAGGGAAAAAAAAGAAGAAAUGUGACUUAACAAAUUAAGUUCUACAAGUAUGGCUGAGACAAUAAAGUGCUGUUUAUUUUCAAUAUUUAUGAAUGUAGCUGAACUUUUAAAAUAGUCCGAGUGCCUAAAUGUUCCUUAAACAGGUAAUUCUCUAUUUUUUUUUCUUGAAGCAUCCUUGAAUAAGGUCACAAAGCAUUAACAUUUGUGUUCUUAUACUGCACCAGUAAUAACUUGGCACAUAGGUUUGUACCAUUAUAUAUUAAGUCUAUGGUUUGUACCCAUUGUUGGUUUUGGUGGAUGUAGAACUGCUCAAAGAGACUCGGUGCGGUGUGCUGCCACCUAGUGGUGGGAGGUUUAGGUGGAAAAAAAAAGAGUAAGAUGCUGAACUGCAUGUUUGCGUGUAAAUACAUAAUUAGAUAUCACCUCUGCAGCAUUUUGAAGUAUUGCCAAAAGAUUUAUCUUUAUUUCUUUUUUAUUUUUUUAUCUUUUAACAAGAGUGGGAAGAUAAACCACUAGAGAUGGGACAUCUCGUUUUCAAGAGGGUCCUUCAUUUCACGAAAUCAUGAGAUUUCUAUCUAUAUCUAUAUUCUAUAUCAAUUUUUAUUGCGGUUUAAAAAAGGUCUGUAUUGAUUUUUAACAU
Long non-coding RNA from Oryzias melastigma (Indian medaka), 3971 nucleotides. RefSeq lists it as uncharacterized. Lineage: Eukaryota; Metazoa; Chordata; Actinopteri; Beloniformes; Adrianichthyidae. The record is from RefSeq and is a predicted model, not a curated record. The transcript has 9 exons.